GCGACGACGGGUAGCCGGCCUGAGAGGGCGACCGGCCACACUGGGACUGAGACACGGCCCAGACUCCUACGGGAGGCAGCAGUGGGGAAUAUUGCACAAUGGGCGAAAGCCUGAUGCAGCGACCCCGCGUGAGGGAUGACGGCCUUCGGGUUGUAAACCUCUUUCAGCAGGGAAGAAGCGAAAGUGACGGUNCCUGCAAAAAAAGCGCCGGCUAACUACGUGCCAGCAGCCGCGGUAAUACGUAGGGCGCANGCGUUGUCCGGAAUUAUUGGGCGUAAAGAGCUCGUAGGCGGCUUGUCACGUCGGGUGUGAAAGCCCGGGGCUUAACCCCGGGUCUGCAUUCGAUACGGGCUAGCUAGAGUGUGGUAGGGGAGAUCGGAAUUCCUGGUGUAGCGGUGAAAUGCGCAAAUAUCAGGAGGAACACCGGUGGCGAAGGCGGAUCUCUGGGCCAUUACUGACGCUAAGGAGCGAAAGCGUGGGGAGCGAACAGGAUUAAAUACCCGGGUAGUCCACGCCGUAAACGGUGGGAACUAGGUGUUGGCGACUUUCCACGUCGUCGGUGCCGCAGCUAACGCAUUAAGUUCCCCGCCGGG
This 593-nucleotide ribosomal RNA is filed under the name Streptomyces sp. CATR-41. RNAcentral describes it as "bacterial SSU rRNA". It matches the Rfam family "Bacterial small subunit ribosomal RNA", at positions 273 to 873 of the family's 1533-position model. Lineage: Bacteria; Bacillati; Actinomycetota; Actinomycetes; Kitasatosporales; Streptomycetaceae. The record is from RNAcentral.